This 393-nucleotide ribosomal RNA is filed under the name uncultured bacterium. Its description in RNAcentral is "partial 16S ribosomal RNA". It matches the Rfam family "Bacterial small subunit ribosomal RNA", at positions 523 to 918 of the family's 1533-position model. The record is from RNAcentral.
AUACGGAGGAUCCGAGCGUUAUCCGGAUUUAUUGGGUUUAAAGGGAGCAUAGGUGGACAGUUAAGUCAGUUGUGAAAGUUUGCGGCUCAACCGUAAAAUUGCAGUUGAUACUGGCUGUCUUGAGUACAGUAGAGGUGGGCGGAAUUCGUGGUGUAGCGGUGAAAUGCUUAGAUAUCACGAAGAACUCCGAUUGCGAAGGCAGCUCACUGGACUGCAACUGACACUGAUGCUCGAAAGUGUGGGUAUCAAACAGGAUUAGAUACCCUGGUAGUCCACACAGUAAACGAUGAAUACUCGCUGUUUGCGAUAUACAGUAAGCGGCCAAGCGAAAGCAUUAAGUAUUCCACCUGGGGAGUACGCCGGCAACGGUGAAACUCAAAUGAAUUGACGGGG